UUGAUAAUGCUGGGAUGUGAUGGGGAGCGAAAUUUAGUAGCGAAGUAGCUGAUUUCACACUGUCAAGAAAAGUCUCUAUCGAGGUUAAAGGUACCCGUACCGCAAACCGACACAGGUGGGUGAGGAGAGUAUCCUAAGGCCAGCGAGAGAACUGUUGUUAAGGAACUCGGCAAAAUGACCCCGUAACUUAGGGAUAAGGGGUGCCACCAUCAGGUGGCCGCAGAGAAUAGGCCCAAGCGACUGUUUACCAAAAACAUAGGUUUCUGCUAAGUCGCAAGACGAUGUAUAGGAGCUGACGCCUGCCCGGUGCUGGAAGGUUAAGGGGAUCUGUUAGAGCAAUCGAAGCAGUGAACUUAAGCCCCAGUAAACGGCGGCCGUAACUAUAACGGUCCUAAGGUAGCGAAAUUCCUUGUCGGGUAAGUUCCGACCCGCACGAAAGGCGUAACGAUUUGGGCACUGUCUCAACAACAGACUCGGUGAAAUUGUAAUUCCGGUGAAGAUGCCGGAUACCUGCGACAGGACGGAAAGACCCCAUGGAGCUUUACUGUAGCUUGACAUUGGGUCUUGGUACUACAUGUACAGGAUAGGUGGGAGGCUUUGAAACCAGGACGCCAGUUUUGGCGGAGCCAUCCUUGGGAUACCACCCUUGUAGUACUGGGACUCUAACCAUAGGCCAUGAAUCUGGUCUUGGGACACUGUCAGGUGGGCAGUUUGACUGGGGCGGUCGCCUCCCAAAAGGUAACGGAGGCGCUCAAAGGUUCUCUCAGUACGGUCGGAAAUCGUACGUAGAGUGUAAAGGCAAAAGAGAGCUUGAUUGCAAGACAUACAGGUCGAGCAAGGAUGAAAAUCGGACUUAGUGAUCCGGUGGUUCUGCGUGGAAGGGCCAUCGCUCAACGGAUAAAAGCUACCCUGGGGAUAACAGGCUUAUCUCCCCCAAGAGUCCACAUCGACGGGGAGGUUUGGCACCUCGAUGUCGGCUCAUCACAUCCUGGGGCUGUAGUAGGUCCCAAGGGUUGGGCUGUUCGCCCAUUAAAGUGGUACGCGAGCUGGGUUCAGAACGUCGUGAGACAGUUCGGUCCCUAUCCGUCGCAGGCGUAGGAAAUUUGAGAAGACCUGUCCUUAGUACGAGAGGACCGGGAUGGACG
RNAcentral lists this ribosomal RNA (1145 nucleotides) under Clostridioides difficile. Its description in RNAcentral is "partial 23S ribosomal RNA". It matches the Rfam family "Bacterial large subunit ribosomal RNA", at positions 1547 to 2703 of the family's 2925-position model. Lineage: Bacteria; Bacillati; Bacillota; Clostridia; Peptostreptococcales; Peptostreptococcaceae. The record is from RNAcentral.